AACUCUUACGAAACUCCAAGAGGAAGCCAGGACAAGGAUUAUGGCCUCCUUUUACUGAUGAGGAAAUAAAUAGAGGCCCAGAGAACCAGGGGGCUGGCUGGAAACAAAGUGAGGACAGUCAGAGGCCCGGGAGCCUGCUUCUCCUUCACUCCAUCCUCUCCCAGGUGGGGGCUCAAUGAGGGGGAGGGGCUGCUUCCUUUCCUCCUCUGUGCCCUCCCAGAUUUCCCAGAGUGCACCUGUGGCCUUUGGCCCCCACCCCCACCGAAGAGCCUGUGGGGGCCGCUCAGCAAGAAGGAAAUUCAGUGGCGCAUCUGCCCACAUUCUGGAAGGACCCCUGGUCCCCUUCUGUCAGCCCUCCCACCUGCCUCCCUCCUCGUGCCGCUCCUCUGAUCCCUCACUCCACUCCGGCUCCUGCGGCGCUGACGGAGCGGGGUGGGGGGAGUUGCUGCGUCUGGGGGUGUAAGAACCUUAGAUGUCACGGAGCUUGGAAUUGUGCCAACGGGCAGGCUGAAGGGGCCUUAAAGUGCUGCCAAGCCCUCCUCAUGCCACACCAGCUUCCCUGCAGAGCCAGGAGCCCAUGGCUGCGAUCAGAUGACUGCUUCCUGCGUCUAGCUUUUCUCAUUGCAGUUUUUUCCAGAUGGGGACCCCGAUGUCUGCCCUGUGGGCUGGAGCAGGCGGCGACUCUGUCCUGGCUGUGAGAUCUCCUCCACCGCCCCUGACUCCUACCCUGUCAGGCCCACCCCCAGUCUCUUAUCACCGCUGGAGGGGAAUCUGAGCAAUCCCCUACGGGGUGACAACCUGCAACUACAUGGCAUCGUGCACGUGGAUCCACUGCAGCAUGGAGCGGGGUCUGCAUCAGGAAAGACACUCCUCCUCUUCCCCCGGCCGCAGGCUGGAGUGCAGUGGCGUGAUCUCGGCUCGCUACAACCUCCAC
RNAcentral lists this long non-coding RNA (934 nucleotides) under Homo sapiens (human). RNAcentral describes it as "HSALNT0406043". The record is from RNAcentral. Lineage: Eukaryota; Metazoa; Chordata; Mammalia; Primates; Hominidae.